CAGGCUAUCCUUUUUAGUUAGGAAUUUCAUUUACACUGAAAUUUUUGUCGUGCAAUUCGAUGUGGUCUGA
This 70-nucleotide transfer RNA is filed under the name Rhinotermes marginalis. RNAcentral describes it as "tRNA-Val". The record is from RNAcentral. Lineage: Eukaryota; Metazoa; Arthropoda; Insecta; Blattodea; Rhinotermitidae.